RNAcentral lists this transfer RNA (79 nucleotides) under Candidatus Omnitrophota bacterium. RNAcentral describes it as "tRNA-Pro". It matches the Rfam family "tRNA". From Rfam's summary of the family: Transfer RNA (tRNA) molecules are approximately 80 nucleotides in length. Their secondary structure includes four short double-helical elements and three loops (D, anti-codon, and T loops). Further hydrogen bonds mediate the characteristic L-shaped molecular structure. tRNAs have two regions of fundamental functional importance: the anti-codon, which is responsible for specific mRNA codon recognition, and the 3' end, to which the tRNAs corresponding amino acid is attached (by aminoacyl-tRNA synthetases). tRNAs cope with the degeneracy of the genetic code in two manners: having more than one tRNA (with a specific anti-codon) for a particular amino acid; and 'wobble' base-pairing, i.e. permitting non-standard base-pairing at the 3rd anti-codon position. Lineage: Bacteria; Pseudomonadati; Candidatus Omnitrophota. The record is from RNAcentral.
CGGGGAGUGGCUCAGUUUGGUUUAGAGCGCUUGGUUUGGGACCAAGAGGUCGUGGGUUCAAGUCCCACCUCCCCGACCA